Small nuclear RNA from Suncus etruscus (white-toothed pygmy shrew), 108 nucleotides. The record is from RefSeq and is a predicted model, not a curated record. Lineage: Eukaryota; Metazoa; Chordata; Mammalia; Eulipotyphla; Soricidae.
GUCUGCAUUCACUUCAACAGCACAUAUACUAAACUUGGAAAGAUACAGAGAAGGUUAGCAUGGCCCACGUACAAGGACACCCAAAAAAAAGUACUGUGUGUCUUAAGU